Molecule: non-coding RNA, 214 nt
Organism: Paramuricea clavata
Lineage: Eukaryota; Metazoa; Cnidaria; Anthozoa; Malacalcyonacea; Plexauridae
Source: the annotation of a GenBank genome assembly
GUCCUUGUCAAAAGCAUUUCAAAUUUAUAAAUGAAAAAUAUUCUUUACUUGUACAAAAGUCUUUAUAGCUCUGACAAAAUUUUUUUUAACAUGACCAGGAUGGCCUAUAGCUUCACCACUGCAAGUCCCGAACUAUGUUUGGCAUUGCUUUAUAUAUAUUUGCUAUCAGUAUCCAUAAUGUUAAUUUGUUUGUUUGCUUGCUUGGAAUCAAAGC